This 253-nucleotide ribosomal RNA is filed under the name uncultured bacterium. RNAcentral describes it as "partial 16S ribosomal RNA". It matches the Rfam family "Bacterial small subunit ribosomal RNA", at positions 524 to 776 of the family's 1533-position model. The record is from RNAcentral.
UACAGAGGGUGCGAGCGUUGUUCGGAAUUACUGGGCGUAAAGGGCGCGUAGGCGGCCUUCUAAGUCGGACGUGAAAGCCCCAGGCUUAACCUGGGAACUGCGUCCGAUACUGGGAGGCUUGGAUUCGGGAGAGGGAUGUGGAAUUCCAGGUGUAGCGGUGAAAUGCGUAGAUAUCUGGAGGAACACCGGUGGCGAAGGCGGCAUCCUGGACCGAGAUCGACGCUGAGGCGCGAAAGCUAGGGGAGCAAACGGG